GAUGAACGCUGGCGGCGUGCCUAAUACAUGCAAGUCGAGCGAACGGACGAGAAGCUUGCUUCUCUGAUGUUAGCGGCGGACGGGUGAGUAACACGUGGAUAACCUACCUAUAAGACUGGGAUAACUUCGGGAAACCGGAGCUAAUACCGGAUAAUAUUUUGAACCGCAUGGUUCAAAAGUGAAAGACGGUCUUGCUGUCACUUAUAGAUGGAUCCGCGCUGCAUUAGCUAGUUGGUAAGGUAACGGCUUACCAAGGCAACGAUGCAUAGCCGACCUGAGAGGGUGGUCGGCCACACUGGAACUGAGACACGGCCCAGACUCCUACGGGAGGCAGCAGUAGGGAAUCUUCCGCAAUGGGCGAAAGCCUGACGGAGCAACGCCGCGUGAGUGAUGAAGGUCUUCGGAUCGUAAAACUCUGUUAUUAGGGAAGAACAUAUGUGUAAGUAACUGUGCACAUCUUGACGGUACCUAAUCAGAAAGCCACGGCUAACUACGUG
RNAcentral lists this ribosomal RNA (497 nucleotides) under uncultured bacterium. Its description in RNAcentral is "partial 16S ribosomal RNA". It matches the Rfam family "Bacterial small subunit ribosomal RNA", at positions 28 to 507 of the family's 1533-position model. The record is from RNAcentral.